UACGUAGGGGGUAAGCGUUGUCCGGAUUCAUUGGGCGUAAAGAGCGUGUAGGCGGCCAGGUAGGUCGGUUGUGAAAACUGGAGGCUCAACCUUCAGAGGUCGACCGAAACCAUCUGGCUAGAGUCCGGGAGAGGAGAGUGGAAUUCCUGGUGUAGCGGUGAAAUGCGCAGAUAUCAGGAAGAACACCCGUGGCGAAAGCGGCUCUCUGGACCGACACUGACGCUGAGGCGCGAAAGCUAGGGGAGCAAACGGG
Molecule: ribosomal RNA, 253 nt
Filed under: uncultured bacterium
Lineage: Bacteria
Description: partial 16S ribosomal RNA
Rfam family: Bacterial small subunit ribosomal RNA
Source: RNAcentral